CUUCGGGGAACGAUAACGGCGUCGAGCGGCGGACGGGUGAGUAAUGCCUAGGAAAUUGCCCUGAUGUGGGGGAUAACCAUUGGAAACGAUGGCUAAUACCGCAUAAUGCCUACGGGCCAAAGAGGGGGACCUUCGGGCCUCUCGCGUCAGGAUAUGCCUAGGUGGGAUUAGCUAGUUGGUGAGGUAAUGGCUCACCAAGGCGACGAUCCCUAGCUGGUCUGAGAGGAUGAUCAGCCACACUGGAACUGAGACACGGUCCAGACUCCUACGGGAGGCAGCAGUGGGGAAUAUUGCACAAUGGGCGCAAGCCUGAUGCAGCCAUGCCGCGUGUGUGAAGAAGGCCUUCGGGUUGUAAAGCACUUUCAGUCGUGAGGAAGGUNGUGUAGUUAAUAGCUGCAUUAUUUGACGUUAGCGACAGAAGAAGCACCGGCUAACUCCGUGCCAGCAGCCGCGGUAAUACGGAGGGUGCGAGCGUUAAUCGGAAUUACUGGGCGUAAAGCGCAUGCAGGUGGUUUGUUAAGUCAGAUGUGAAAGCCCGGGGCUCAACCUCGGAAUAGCAUUUGAAACUGGCAGACUAGAGU
Molecule: ribosomal RNA, 581 nt
Filed under: Vibrio owensii
Lineage: Bacteria; Pseudomonadati; Pseudomonadota; Gammaproteobacteria; Vibrionales; Vibrionaceae
Description: bacterial SSU rRNA
Rfam family: Bacterial small subunit ribosomal RNA
Source: RNAcentral